CCUGGCGGCCGUAGCGCGGUGGUCCCACCUGACCCCAUGCCGAACUCAGAAGUGAAACGCCGUAGCGCCGAUGGUAGUGUGGGGUCUCCCCAUGCGAGAGUAGGGAACUGCCAUGC
Molecule: ribosomal RNA, 116 nt
Filed under: Escherichia coli
Lineage: Bacteria; Pseudomonadati; Pseudomonadota; Gammaproteobacteria; Enterobacterales; Enterobacteriaceae
Also listed under: 1 other name
Source: RNAcentral